AGCUUUUUGAAUCCGUGCUGAGAUUUCGUCAGACAACAACCCUUUAACGCUGAUCAGACUUCCAAGAUAAGUGAAGCU
Molecule: non-coding RNA, 78 nt
Organism: Schistosoma rodhaini
Lineage: Eukaryota; Metazoa; Platyhelminthes; Trematoda; Strigeidida; Schistosomatidae
Source: Rfam